CUUCCGUAGGGGGAACCUGCGGAAGGAUCAUUACAGAGACAUUGCCCCUUGGGGUAGAUCUCCCACCCUUUGUUUACCUUACCUUUGUUGCUUUGGCAGGCCCGUCUUUGGACCACCGGCUUAGGCUGGUCUGCGCCUGCCAGAGAACCCCAAAUUCUUGACUUUUUGUGUUGUCUGAGUAAUAUUAUAAUAAGUUAAAACUUUCAACAACGGAUCUCUUGGUUCUGGCAUCGAUGAAGAACGCAGCGAAAUGCGAUAAGUAAUGUGAAUUGCAGAAUUCAGUGAAUCAUCGAAUCUUUGAACGCACAUUGCACCCUCUGGUAUUCCAGGGGGUAUGCCUGUUCGAGCGUCAUUUCAACCCUCAAGCUUAGCUUGGUAUUGGGUGUCACCUGGUAAUGGGGUGCAUCUUAAAAUCAGUGGCGGUGCCAUCUGGCUCCAAGCGUAGUAAUUCUCUCGCUUUGGAGAUUUAGAUUUGUGGUUGCCAUCAACCCCUAAUUUCUUAAAGGUUGACCUCGGAUCAGGUAGGGAUACCCGCUGAACUUAAGCAUAUCAAUAAGCGGAGGAAGGA
Molecule: ribosomal RNA, 568 nt
Filed under: fungal sp. shylm71
Lineage: Eukaryota; Fungi
Description: eukaryotic LSU rRNA
Rfam family: 5.8S ribosomal RNA (bases 199-352)
Source: RNAcentral